This 495-nucleotide ribosomal RNA is filed under the name Caecianiropsis sp. JK-2018. RNAcentral's name for it is "partial large subunit ribosomal RNA". It matches the Rfam family "Bacterial large subunit ribosomal RNA", at positions 1810 to 2607 of the family's 2925-position model. The record is from RNAcentral. Lineage: Eukaryota; Metazoa; Arthropoda; Malacostraca; Isopoda; Janiridae.
AAAACAUUUCUUUUUAAAUAAAAAGUAGGCUCUGCUCAGUGAGGAAUUAAAUAGCCGCGGUAUUUUGACCGUGCAAAGGUAGCAUAAUAAUUUGUCUCUUAAUAAGAGGCUGGAAUAAAUGAGUUUAUAAUACUUUAACUUUUUUUUCUUUUUUUUAAAAAUUGAUAUUUUUAUAAAAAAGUAAAAAUAAAUCAAAAGGACGAUAAGACCCUGUAAAACUUUAUAAAUUUAGUGGUUAAAAUUUAUUUUUUAAAUUAAGUAAAAUUUAUUGAGCUGGGGCGGUUUUUAAUAUUCAUUAAAAAAGUUAACAAAAUUUGAGAUUUUAGAGCUUAUAACACAAUUGGAAUAAGUUACUUUAGGGAUAACAGCACAAUUAUCUUUUAGAGAUCUGAUCGAAAAGAUAGUCUUGUGACCUCGAUGUUGAAUCGGAUACUCUGGGCGGAGCAAAAGAUGUCUAAGAAGGUCUGUUCGACCUUUAAAAUUUCACGUGAUCUG